UACGUAGGCAGCAAGCGUUGUUCGGAAUUAUUGGGCGUAAAGAGUAUGUAGGUGGUGUCGUAAGUUUGGUGUGAAAUCUCCUGGCUUAACUGGGAGGGUGCGCCGAAGACUGCGAUGCUUGAGUAUGGGAGAGGGAAUCGGAAUUCCUGGUGUAGCGGUGAAAUGCGUAGAUAUCAGGAGGAACACCUGUGGUGUAGACGGGUUCCUGGACCAUUACUGACACUGAGAUACGAAAGCGUGGGUAGCAAACAGG
RNAcentral lists this ribosomal RNA (253 nucleotides) under uncultured bacterium. Its description in RNAcentral is "partial 16S ribosomal RNA". It matches the Rfam family "Bacterial small subunit ribosomal RNA", at positions 524 to 776 of the family's 1533-position model. The record is from RNAcentral.